RNAcentral lists this ribosomal RNA (899 nucleotides) under uncultured bacterium. Its description in RNAcentral is "bacterial SSU rRNA". It matches the Rfam family "Bacterial small subunit ribosomal RNA", at positions 8 to 916 of the family's 1533-position model. The record is from RNAcentral. RNAcentral also lists the same sequence under 2 other names.
AGAGUUUGAUCCUGGCUCAGGGUGAACGCUGGCGGCGUGCUUGACACAUGCAAGUCGAACGGUAUGUGGCAACACAUAGAGUGGCGAACGGGUGAGUAACACGUGGGAACGUACCCUACGCAGGGGGAUAACUGACCGAAAGGACAGCUAAUACCGCAUAAGACCGAAAGGUGAAAGGUGCAACUGCACCGGCGAAGGAGCGGCCCGCGGACCAUCAGCUAGUUGGUGGGGUAAGAGCCUACCAAGGCAACGACGGAUAGCCGGCGUGAGAGCGUGGCCGGCCACAAGGACACUGAGAUACGGGUCCUACUCCUACGGGAGGCAGCAGUGCGGAAUUUUAGAUAAUGGAGGCAACUCUGAUCUAGCGACGCCGCGUGCAGGAAGAAGGUCUUCGGAUUGUAAACUGCUGUGGUAAGGGAAAAAUGCCAUGUAGAGUGGAAAGCUACAUGGAGGGAUGGUACUUUACUAGAAAGCCCCGGCUAACUACGUGCCAGCAGCCGCGGUAAUACGUAGGGGGCGAGCGUUACCCGGAAUCACUGGGCGUAAAGGGAGCGUAGGUGGCCUGACAUGUCAACUGUGAAAACCCGGAGCUCAACUCCGGACUUGCAGUUGAAACUGCCAGGCUUGAGGACGGUAGAGGAAGACGGAACUGCCAGUGUAGGGGUAAAAUCCUUAGAUAUUGGCAGGAACGCCGGUGACGAAGGUGGUUUUCUGGGCCGGUUCUGACACUGAUGCUCGAAAGCCAGGGGAGCGAACGGGAUUAGAUACCCCGGUAGUCCUGGCCCUAAACGAUGUUCACUAGGUGUGGGGAGCGGAAAGCUUUCCGUGCUAAAGCUAACGCAAUAAGUGAACCGCCUGGGGAGUACGCCCGCAAGGGUGAAACUCAAAGGAAUUGACGG